AAGACUAUAUUUUCAGGGAUCAUUUUUAUAGUGGGUGACUAGAGGAGUUUCUCUGGAUGAUUAGAGCACUGCAGACCACAGGCACGAGGCACAGGGAUCUCUCCCGAGCAUGCAGCCAGUUCUUGGUGCUGCUUUGCUACAAGUGACACUGCCAUUGACGAUCAUUAUUCUCUUCCCUUGGGAGACUGAGAGGGAGAGAACACAGUCUGACUGAA
Cynocephalus volans (Philippine flying lemur) is the source of this 215-nucleotide small nucleolar RNA. RefSeq annotates it as small nucleolar RNA U3. The transcript has a single exon. NCBI's taxonomy places the organism in Eukaryota, Metazoa, Chordata, Mammalia, Dermoptera, Cynocephalidae. The record is from RefSeq and is a predicted model, not a curated record.